CUUCCAAAGCGCGCGUAGACUGUACACGCCUGAAAGCCCAGUACCCCACCCGUGAAACUGAAUAUGGAUAUGAAUGCCAUGCAAGCAAGCAAAGCCUCAGCUCCGACUUCCCUUCCGGCUCACUCGAUCAUUCUAGAUGAUGGCCGCUUCGCCGCCGUUCGCGGUGGCCGCUUUCCUCAUCGCUUUCUUCCUCUCCAAAAUCGCCGCCGCACAGUUCCCCCAAAACUCAACCGGAACUUCCAAUCUCCACCUUCCAACGCCGUACCAGUCUCUCUGCGCCAGUCUCAUUCACCCCUCCGGUUACCCUUGCUCGGAGCACAAAAUUCAAACUAGGGAUGGCUACUUUUUGGGUCUUCAACGCGUGUCGUCUUCGAAUGUGGAUUUGAGAGCACAGCCGGGUCCUCCAGUGUUGCUCCAGCAUGGACUCUUCAUGGCAGGUGAUGCAUGGUUUUUAAAUUCUCCCGAACAAUCACUGGGCUUCAUCCUUGCAGAUGAAGGCUUUGAUGUAUGGGUUGGAAAUGUGCGUGGAACGCGUUGGAGUCAGGGGCACAUAUCUUUAUCAGAAGAGGAUAAGGAAUAUUGGGAUUGGAGUUGGCAGGAAUUGGCUCUCUAUGAUCUUUCCGAAAUGAUUAACCACAUAUAUUCGAUAACAAACUCCAAAGUCUUUAUUGUUGGACAUUCACAGGGAACAAUCAUGUCUUUAGCUGCUCUCACCCAGCCAGAUGUAGCAGAAAUGGUUGAAGCUGCUGCUCUUCUCUGUCCAAUAUCAUACUUGGAACAUAUCAGCACUCAAUUUGUAAUUAGAAUGGUUGAUGUGCAUCUUGAUCAGAUGAUUCUUGCUAUGGGCAUCCAUCAACUAAACUUUAGAAGUGAUUGGGGAAUUAACCUUCUGAAUUCAAUAUGUGAUGGCCAUGUUGACUGCAAUGACUUGCUAACCUCCAUAACAGGGAAGAAUUGUUGUUUCAAUAACUCACGCGUGGACUUCUAUCUGGAUUAUGAACCCCACCCAUCAUCCGCAAAGAACUUUCACCAUCUCUUCCAAAUGAUUCGCAAGGGUACAUUUUCAAAGUAUGACUAUGGCAUCUUGAAAAAUCUGAUCGAGUAUGGUCAGUUGAAACCCCCUGCAUUUGAUCUUAGUCUCAUACCCAAGUCGUUACCACUGUUGAUGGCUUACGGAGGCAAUGAUGCUCUAGCAGAUGUGGAAGAUUUCCAGCACACCCUCAAGGAAUUGCAGUCUACUCCACAGUUGGUUUAUCUUGAGAACUAUGGUCAUGUCGACUUCAUUGUCAGCACAACAGCCAAGGAAGAUCUUCAUGAUCAAUUGAUUGGGUUUUUUAGGUCAUGGGGAAAAUCUAGUAUAUCCUAAAGUGACUGCUUUUGGUUUAUAAAUGUAGACUACACUUGAGUUUUCGUGUGCAUAUCUUGUAAAUUACAUUGUUUUGUCUUUCUAUUGGUGAUGAUUCUAAUGAAUUAGAAAAUUUGUAGGAUCAGGUAGUAUGUAUAGAGAUAUAUGUACAGAUACAUUUCUGUAUCGUAAUUAGUUUUACUUUCUGAUUUGGCUGUGAAGCAGACGAGGGAGAAGAAGAUGAGAGAGUUUCUCACUUCUCACUUCAAGAUGGACGUGCGCAUGCGCUAACGGCUAAGUUUCAUGGUUGGCACCAGCCUCCAACACUGAAAUGGAAGGUUGUCGCAAAGCUUGCUCAUGUUCUUGGCCCGCAGCUGUUGGUUCUUGUACCUUGCAUCAUACAAGUGGCAUCCUUGUAUUCUAAUCAAGAAUAUACCUUCUCCAAUGCUUAUUCUCUGGUCACCACUGGACACCAGUCUAUCACACUUCAUUCCCAAUGACAAGCGUCUACAUAAUUUAUCACCCACAAAAACAUGUUGCAGAUUUACGAAGGACAAGUCAAUUUUAUCUCUGACAGUGGGUUCACAGGUCACCAGCACGAUGAAAAUUCAUUUGGGCAGGCAUGAGAAGCUAUUUUUAACCCGUAGCAAGCAAGAAGACACAGGACUCAGAUUGUCAGAAUCACAAUAUAACAAGGAGGAUCCGUCCGAUAUAUUCCUCCCAGAUAUUUUCUCUGAUUCAGAAUUUUCAUAUUCAUCCCCUGAAGGAAGAAAACCUUAAAUUGCGUGCCUUCAUAUUAGCCGCAAAUUAAGUACAAAGAAAAGAAAGGAAAAAACAUUUCUUGAGGAAAAAAAAACUUUCACCAUGCAA
RNA transcript from Rosa chinensis, 2215 nucleotides. It is a transcript of the gene named triacylglycerol lipase 1, with no coding region annotated. NCBI's taxonomy places the organism in Eukaryota, Viridiplantae, Streptophyta, Magnoliopsida, Rosales, Rosaceae. The transcript is spliced from 10 exons. The record is from RefSeq and is a predicted model, not a curated record.